RNAcentral lists this ribosomal RNA (301 nucleotides) under uncultured bacterium. RNAcentral's name for it is "partial 16S ribosomal RNA". It matches the Rfam family "Bacterial small subunit ribosomal RNA", at positions 509 to 807 of the family's 1533-position model. The record is from RNAcentral.
CAGUCGCCACGGUAAAACGUAGGGUGCAAGCGUUAAUCGGAAUUACUGGGCGUAAAGCGUGCGCAGGCGGUUAUAUAAGACAGAUGUGAAAUCCCCGGGCUCAACCUGGGACCUGCAUUUGUGACUGUAUAGCUAGAGUACGGUAGAGGGGGAUGGAAUUCCGCGUGUAGCAGUGAAAUGCGUAGAUAUGCGGAGGAACACCGAUGGCGAAGGCAAUCCCCUGGACCUGUACUGACGCUCAUGUACGAAAGCGUGGGGAGCAAACAGGAUUAGAUACCCCCGUAGUCCCUGUCUCUUAUAC